Molecule: ribosomal RNA, 253 nt
Filed under: uncultured bacterium
Lineage: Bacteria
Description: partial 16S ribosomal RNA
Rfam family: Bacterial small subunit ribosomal RNA
Source: RNAcentral
UACGUAGGGACCAAGCGUUGUUCGGAUUUACUGGGCGUAAAGGGCGCGUAGGCGGCGCGGUAAGUCACUUGUGAAAUCUCUGAGCUUAACUCAGAACGGGCAAGUGAUACUGCAGUGCUAGAGUGUGGAAGGGGCAAUCGGAAUUCUUGGUGUAGCGGUGAAAUGCGUAGAUAUCAAGAGGAACACCUGAGGUGAAGACGGGUUGCUGGGCCAACACUGACGCUGAGGCGCGAAAGCCAGGGGAGCAAACGGG